GGAGCCUGAGAAACGGCUACCACAUCUAAGGAAGGCAGCAGGCGCGCAAAUUACCCAAUGAAAACAGUUUCGAGGUAGUGACGAGAAAUAACAAUACAGGGCAUUUUAUGCUCUGUAAUUGGAAUGAUGGGAAUCCAAACCCCUUUCAGAGUAACAAUUGGAGGGCAAGUCUGGUGCCAGCAGCCGCGGUAAUUCCAGCUCCAAUAGCGUAUAUUAGAGUUGUUGCAGUUAAAAAGCUCGUAGUUGGAUUUCUGCUGCGAUUUUCUGGUUCCGCCCGUAUGGGUGUGCAACUGGUUUGAUCUUUGCUUUCUUCCGGUUUCCUUCCUCGCUUUAUUGCGUUGGUCGGUUUCUCCGGAACUUUUACUUUGAGAAAAAUAGAGUGUUUCAAGCAGGCUUGUCGCCUUGAAUACUUCAGCAUGGAAUAAUAAGAUAGGACUUUGGUUCUAUUUUGUUGGUUUCUAGAACUAAAGUAAUGAUUAAUAGGGACAGUUGGGGGCAUUCGUA
This 504-nucleotide ribosomal RNA is filed under the name Coccidia sp. RNAcentral's name for it is "SSU rRNA". It matches the Rfam family "Eukaryotic small subunit ribosomal RNA", at positions 391 to 896 of the family's 1831-position model. The record is from RNAcentral. Lineage: Eukaryota; Apicomplexa; Conoidasida.